RNAcentral lists this ribosomal RNA (160 nucleotides) under Acridocarpus chevalieri. RNAcentral's name for it is "5.8S ribosomal RNA". It matches the Rfam family "5.8S ribosomal RNA". Rfam says of the family: 5.8S ribosomal RNA (5.8S rRNA) is a component of the large subunit of the eukaryotic ribosome. Lineage: Eukaryota; Viridiplantae; Streptophyta; Magnoliopsida; Malpighiales; Malpighiaceae. The record is from RNAcentral.
ACGACUCUCGGCAACGGAUAUCUCGGCUCUCGCAUCGAUGAAGAACGUAGCAAGAUGCGAUACUUGGUGUGAAUUGCAGAAUCCCGUGAACCAUCGAGUCUUUGAACGCAAGUUGCGCCCGAAGCCCUUCGGCGGAGGGCACGUCUGCCUGGGUGUCGAA